AAUGAACGUUGGCGGCGUGGAUUAGGCAUGCAAGUCGAGCGAGAACCCCGCAAGGGGGGACCGCGGCGAAAGGGACAGUAAUGUGUAGAUUAUCUGCCCUCAGGUCCGGGAUAGCUGCGGGAAACUGCAGGUAAUACCGGAUAACAUCUCCGGAUCAAAGGUGUGAUUCCGCCUGAGGAUGAGUCUGCAUCCUAUUAGCUAGUUGGUGGGGUAAUGGCCUACCAAGGCAUUGAUGGGUAGCAGGUGUGAGAGCACGACCUGCGUCAUUGGGACUGAGACACUGCCCAGACACCUACGGGUGGCUGCAGUCGAGAAUCUUCGGCAAUGGGCGCAAGCCUGACCGAGCGACGCCGCGUGUGGGAUGAAGGCCUUCGGGUUGUAAACCACUGCCAGAGGGGAUGAAAUGCAGGUGGGUUCUCCCAUCUGUUUGACAUAGCCUCAGAGGAAGGACGGGCUAAGUUCGUG
Molecule: ribosomal RNA, 465 nt
Filed under: uncultured bacterium
Lineage: Bacteria
Description: partial 16S ribosomal RNA
Rfam family: Bacterial small subunit ribosomal RNA
Source: RNAcentral